GACGAACGCUGGCGGCGUGCUUAACACAUGCAAGUCGAACGGAAAGGCCCUGCUUGCAGGGUACUCGAGUGGCGAACGGGUGAGUAACACGUGGGUGAUCUGCCCUGCACUUCGGGAUAAGCCUGGGAAACUGGGUCUAAUACCGGAUAGGAGCCAUUUUUAGUGUGAUGGUUGGAAAGUUUUUUCGGUGUAGGAUGAGCUCGCGGCCUAUCAGCGUGUUGGUGGGGUAAUGGCCUACCAAGGCGGCGACGGGUAGCCGGCCUGAGAGGGUGGACGGCCACAUUGGGACUGAGAUACGGCCCAGACUCCUACGGGAGGCAGCAGUGGGGAAUAUUGCACAAUGGGCGCAAGCCUGAUGCAGCGACGCCGCGUGGGGGAUGACGGCCUUCGGGUUGUAAACUCCUUUCGCUAGGGACGAAGCUUUUUGUGACGGUACCUAGAUAAGAAGCACCGGCUAACUACGUG
This 465-nucleotide ribosomal RNA is filed under the name uncultured bacterium. Its description in RNAcentral is "partial 16S ribosomal RNA". It matches the Rfam family "Bacterial small subunit ribosomal RNA", at positions 28 to 507 of the family's 1533-position model. The record is from RNAcentral.